RNAcentral lists this ribosomal RNA (216 nucleotides) under uncultured bacterium. RNAcentral's name for it is "partial 16S ribosomal RNA". It matches the Rfam family "Bacterial small subunit ribosomal RNA", at positions 1285 to 1500 of the family's 1533-position model. The record is from RNAcentral.
AUCUCAGUUCGGAUUGCAGGCUGCAACUCGCCUGCACGAAGCUGGAAUUGCUAGUAAUCGCGGAUCAGCAAGCCGCGGUGAAUACGUUCCCGGGCCUUGUACACACCGCCCGUCACACCAUGAGAGUCGGGAACACCCGAAGUCCGUAGUCUAACCGCAAGGGGGGCGCGGCCGAAGGUGGGUCCGGUAAUUGGGGUGAAGUCGUAACAAGGUAGC